AAGAGCCGGAUGUGGGAAAUCCACAAGUCCGGUUCUGUGAGGGGUGUUGAAGUUCCUCACACAUGGUUUGAAUAAUGUGACACUCUACAAUCGAAAGAGUAGAGAAACAGGGAAAACAAAGUAAACCUAAAUGGAGGAACCAUAUUAUGCCUACUCGAC
Molecule: non-coding RNA, 159 nt
Organism: Candidatus Scalindua brodae
Lineage: Bacteria; Pseudomonadati; Planctomycetota; Candidatus Brocadiia; Candidatus Brocadiales; Candidatus Scalinduaceae
Source: Rfam